Molecule: small RNA, 27 nt
Filed under: Bombyx mori (domestic silkworm)
Lineage: Eukaryota; Metazoa; Arthropoda; Insecta; Lepidoptera; Bombycidae
Description: ovarian small RNA-15838
Source: RNAcentral
GAGCGUAGAGGAGUAGUACCAGGACGC